UUUUAUUGAAGGUUUUUCUAAAAAAAAAAUUAAUUUUCCUAUUAAGCUUACACUUACAGGGAGAUUCGCAUAAAUAAAAAAAACAAACUUUUUUGCACUUUCGCUCCAACUGCUCGCGCGAGGGAGAUCCUUCUCUUCGCUGCUCCUCCUUCUCCUUCGCUGCUCCUCACUCCAUUCAAUACGGUUUUGGUUUUUCGAAUUUGGGAUCAGUUUUAGUGGUUUUAUAACAAGGUUUUGAGGGCAAGCAAUAAUAAGGUGUUUGGAAGGGUGCUAUGAUGGAAUUUCAAGAAGUUAUUAUGCUGGUGGAAAUGACCUGGAUUAAGCUAGUAGAAAUGAUAAAUAAGAGAGCUAGUUCUUGGAAUCAAGGUCUAUGGUGAUUAGUGGUUCGAUUGAUGUAAUACAGAAAAAUUAUUAUAGGUUAUUUCAUUGUGAUUGGAUUAUAGGGUUGAGCUCGAUUCAUUCAUCUGCUCAUGUCGAUGCUUGAUUCACUCUUCGUUAAGGGGUCUCUGUCUUUGACUUUUUGAGGUUGCAUUUUUUUUAUGUGGGAAGAAGACUAUCUUGAAGAGCAACCAUUCUCAUGGUUUCCAGAACAUUGAAGGUGCUCCCAAUUAUUGCUAGGGGUAUUUGGCAUUUUUCAAAACUGGCAGCCUACAACGAUGUAGAAUUAUUGGAUGAGAUUCGAGAACAACAGGCUAAGUUUUUUAGACUUAUUUUUUUGUUGAAAGACUAGUUAUCUUAUUAAUCGAUAUUAUGAUUAAUCUCAUUUAGCUUAAUAAAACAAUAAUGUAGCACAUUUCUAUAAAUCUACUUUUAUUUAGCCUAGUGUUAUUGUUAUUACAUUUAUAAAUUAUAAAUCAAUGAUUGUUUUAUUCAAGUUUUAAUUGUUUUUUGAAAAGUAUAGUUAAUUUUGUUGCAUUGUAUUGUUGUGGAUGAAUAAUUCCAGUUGUGUGGAAUUAUUUGGAGUGUUUGUAUUGUAUGUUAUGGGUGAAUUUAAGUUAUAUGGAAGUAUUCGGUACGUGUUUUGUUUGUUGAAUUGUAACAGGUUGUAACCCAUUUGACGAUGGGACGUUUGGUAGGAUAUACUACCAUUUUUGUAUUCGAAUCAAA
Chenopodium quinoa (quinoa) is the source of this 1107-nucleotide long non-coding RNA. RefSeq lists it as uncharacterized. The record is from RefSeq and is a predicted model, not a curated record. NCBI's taxonomy places the organism in Eukaryota, Viridiplantae, Streptophyta, Magnoliopsida, Caryophyllales, Amaranthaceae. The transcript has 5 exons.